GAGAUUUUGUUGCCGAAUUCAAGAGGAGACAGAGAGCUGAAGUGAACGAUGAGUGUUUGUUUUGUCGGAACCAUGAUGGCGAGAAGAUGAUCGGCCGGGCUGGAGCGAACUCUAAGACGACUAGACCCUGGGUUUACCUGAGAAGAGAACACGAGCAAACUGUUCUAAGCA
Selaginella moellendorffii is the source of this 171-nucleotide long non-coding RNA. RefSeq lists it as uncharacterized. Lineage: Eukaryota; Viridiplantae; Streptophyta; Lycopodiopsida; Selaginellales; Selaginellaceae. The record is from RefSeq and is a predicted model, not a curated record. The transcript is spliced from 2 exons.